AUAUAGGGCAAACCUGAUUGGAGAGCUUGAUUGAAAUUGAGUUGCACCCGUGAGGUUUACAAAACAAUCUUUAGGGUUUAUGUGAGGCAGAGGUGAUUCUGUGCAGUUGAGUUCCCUUCAGGGUUUGGAGGUUGCUCUGAACUCUGUUAGUUCUUCUCUCACUAUCUUUUUCCUCAGGGUUUUGUUCCAAGGAAACCUCGGAGUAUUUUGCCUCUCUUCCUUUUUCUCUCCAGUGAAUCUCCCAGUGUAACUCCAAGUGUGUCUUUUCCUCUACUGAAACUUCAAUAUUUAUAGACUGAUUUUCGUGGGUAGUGGGCUCAAAUGAGGGAGACCCAAG
This 337-nucleotide long non-coding RNA is filed under the name Lathyrus oleraceus (garden pea). Its description in RNAcentral is "Pisum sativum (pea) long non-coding RNA (PSAT_LNC022353)". Lineage: Eukaryota; Viridiplantae; Streptophyta; Magnoliopsida; Fabales; Fabaceae. The record is from RNAcentral.